AUGGGGGCAACCCUGACCGAGCAACGCCGCGUGAGUGAAGAAGGUUUUCGGAUCGUAAAACUCUGUUGUUAGAGAAGAACGUUAAGUAGAGUGGAAAAUUACUUAAGUGACGGUAUCUAACCAGAAAGGGACGGCUAACUACGUGCCAGCAGCCGCGGUAAUACGUAGGUCCCAAGCGUUGUCCGGAUUUAUUGGGCGUAAAGCGAGCGCAGGUGGUUUCUUAAGUCUGAUGUAAAAGGCAGUGGCUCAACCAUUGUGUGCAUUGGAAACUGGGAGACUUGAGUGCAGGAGAGGAGAGUGGAAUUCCAUGUGUAGCGGUGAAAUGCGUAGAUAUAUGGAGGAACACCGGAGGCGAAAGCGGCUCUCUGGCCUGUAACUGACACUGAGGCUCGAAAGCGUGGGGAGCAAACAGGAUUAGAUACCCUGGUAGUCCACGCCGUAAACGAUGAGUGCUAGCUGUAGGGAGCUAUAAGUUCUCUGUAGCGCAGCUAACGCAUUAAGCACUCCGCCUGGGGAGUACGACCGCAAGGUUGAAACUCAAAGGAAUUGACGGGGGCCCGCACAAGCGGUGGAGCAUGUGGUNUANUUCGAAGCAACGCGAAGAACCUUACCAGGUCUUGACAUACUCGUGCUAU
Molecule: ribosomal RNA, 635 nt
Filed under: bacterium T-1-48-6B
Lineage: Bacteria
Description: bacterial SSU rRNA
Rfam family: Bacterial small subunit ribosomal RNA
Source: RNAcentral